AUAACGACUCUCGGCAACGGAUAUCUCGGCUCUCGCAUCGAUGAAGAACGUAGCGAAAUGCGAUACUUGGUGUGAAUUGCAGAAUCCCGUGAACCAUCGAGUCUUUGAACGCAAGUUGCGCCCUAAGCCUUCUGGCCGAGGGCACGUCYGCCUGGG
This 156-nucleotide ribosomal RNA is filed under the name Arabis juressi. RNAcentral describes it as "5.8S ribosomal RNA". It matches the Rfam family "5.8S ribosomal RNA". From Rfam's summary of the family: 5.8S ribosomal RNA (5.8S rRNA) is a component of the large subunit of the eukaryotic ribosome. The record is from RNAcentral. Lineage: Eukaryota; Viridiplantae; Streptophyta; Magnoliopsida; Brassicales; Brassicaceae.